GGCUCAGAACGAACGUUAGCGGCGCGCCUAAUACAUGCAAGUCGAGCGAGAAAGGGCUUCGGCCCCAGUAAAGCGGCGCACGGGUGAGUAACACGUAGGUUAUCUCCCCUCGAGUGGUGGAUAACCCUCCGAAAGGAGGGCUAAUACAGCAUGAGACCACGACCUUCUAGGUUGCGGUCAAAGCAGGCCUCUUCAUGAAAGCUUGCGCUCAAGGAUGAGCCUGCGGCCCAUCAGCUAGUUGGUAAGGUAAUGGCUUACCAAGGCUAAGACGGGUAGCUGGUCUGAGAGGAUGAGCAGCCACACUGGAACUGAAACACGGUCCAGACUCCUACGGGAGGCAGCAGUAGGGAAUCUUGCGCAAUGGACGAAAGUCUGACGCAGCGACGCCGCGUGAGCGAUGAAGGCCUUCGGGUUGUAAAGCUCUGUGGGGAGAGACGAAUAAGGCAUGGCUAACAUCCAUGUCGAUGACGGUAUCUCCUUAGCAAGCACCGGCUAACUCUGUGCCAGCAGCCGCGGUAAGACAGAGGGUGCGAACGUUGUUCGGAAUUACUGGGCGUAAAGCGCGUGUAGGCAGCAGCGCAAGUCGGGCGUGAAAUCCCACGGCUCAACCGUGGAAGUGCACUCGAAACUGCGCAGCUAGAGUCCUGGAGAGGAAGGUGGAAUGCUUGGUGUAGAGGUGAAAUUCGUAGAUAUCAAGCGGAACACCGGUGGCGAAGGCGGCCUUCUGGACAGUGACUGACGCUGAGACGCGAAAGCGUGGGGAGCAAACAGGAUUAGAUACCCUGGUAGUCCACGCCGUAAACGAUGAGUGCUAGGUGUCACGGGCUUUGACCCUCGUGGUGCCGAAGCUAACGCGUUAAGCACUCCGCCUGGGGAGUACGG
Molecule: ribosomal RNA, 882 nt
Filed under: uncultured bacterium
Lineage: Bacteria
Description: bacterial SSU rRNA
Rfam family: Bacterial small subunit ribosomal RNA
Source: RNAcentral